GGGGGGGGGGGGGGGGGGGGGGGGGGGGGGGGGGGGGGGGGGGGGGGGAGGAGGGGGUGGGUUGAAGGGGUGGGGAGUGGGGGACGGGUGAGGGAGGCGCUGGGAGCGAGGGGUGCGCGGGGGGGAGCGGAGGGGACGUGCCGCUAGGACCGGUGACGCACUACGGGUGCACGCCGGGGAGCCACGGACCAUGCGCGCUUGAACGACGCGAUGUCGGAUUAGCUAGUUGGCGGGGUGACGGCCUCCCUAGACGACCAUCCGAAGCUGUUCUGAGAGGAUGAUCAGCCACACUGGAACUGAGACACGGUCCAGACUCCUACGGGAGGCAGCAGUGGGGAAUAUUGGACAAUGGGCGCAAGCCUGAUCCAGCCAUACCGCGUGGGUGAAGAAGGCCUUCGGGUUGUAAAGCCCUUUUGUUGGGAAAGAAAAGCAGCAGGUUAAUACCCCGCUGUUCUGACGGUACCCAAAGAAUAAGCACCGGCUAACUUCGUG
This 492-nucleotide ribosomal RNA is filed under the name uncultured bacterium. Its description in RNAcentral is "partial 16S ribosomal RNA". The stretch from base 53 to 492 matches the Rfam family "Bacterial small subunit ribosomal RNA", at positions 38 to 507 of the family's 1533-position model. The record is from RNAcentral.